AAGUCGUAACAAGGUUUCCGUAGGUGAACCUGCGGAAGGAUCAUUAACAUCUUAUUGAAUUGGUGGUGGUGUGGUGUUUCGGCACUCAUCAUCCUCAACCCCAUUGUGUGCAUGUAUGUGUGUGUUGUGUUGUGAGUGAGUAGAGCUUUGCUUUACUUCUCUCUCCACUUCACCUCACUCAUCUCAUUUAUACAACCCCAAACCCCUUCUUCUCAUCACACUAGACUGACUUUCAAUCCUCGUUUUCGCUCCCUACCAACGGAGCAAAACAUCAAUCAGCAUACAACUCUUAGCAACGGAUAUCUAGGCUCUC
This 313-nucleotide unclassified non-coding RNA is filed under the name fungal sp. RNAcentral describes it as "partial internal transcribed spacer region". The stretch from base 1 to 46 matches the Rfam family "Eukaryotic small subunit ribosomal RNA", at positions 1786 to 1831 of the family's 1831-position model. Lineage: Eukaryota; Fungi. The record is from RNAcentral.